UACAGAGGGCUCGAGCGUUAGGCGGAAUCACUGGGCUUAAAGCGUGUGUAGGUGGAUGCCUAAGUACUUUGUGAAAUCCCAUGGCUUAACCAUGGAAUUGCUUGGUAUACUGGGUGUCUUGAGCCACUCAGGGGCUACUGGAACAAACGGUGGAGCGGUGAAAUGCGUAGAUAUCGUUUGGAACGCCAAUGGUGAAAACAAGUAGCUGGGGGUGUGCUGACACUGAGACACGAAAGCCAGGGGAGCAAACAGG
This 253-nucleotide ribosomal RNA is filed under the name uncultured bacterium. RNAcentral's name for it is "partial 16S ribosomal RNA". It matches the Rfam family "Bacterial small subunit ribosomal RNA", at positions 524 to 776 of the family's 1533-position model. The record is from RNAcentral.